CCUACGGGGGGCAGCAGUGAGGAAUAUUGGUCAAUGGGCGCAAGCCUGAACCAGCCAAGUCGCGUGAGGGAAGACGGCCCUACGGGUUGUAAACCUCUUUUGCCGGGGAGCAAGCCUGAGCUCGUGUGCCCAGGCGCAGAGUACCCGUAGACAAAGCCUCGGCAAACUCCGUGCCAGCAGCCGCGGUAAUACGGAGGAUGCGAGCGUUAUCCGGAUUUAUUGGGUUAAAAGGGUGCGUAGGCGGUUCGAUAAGUUAGAGGUGAAAUCCCGGGGCUAAACUCCGGCACUGCCUCUGAUACUGUCGGGCUAGAGUUUAGUUGCGGUAGGCGGAAUGUAUGGUGUAGCGGUGAAAUGCAUAGAGAUCAUACAGAACACCGAUUGCGAAGGCAGCUUACCAAACGACGACUGACGUUGAGGCACGAAAGCGUGGGGAGCAAACAGGAUUAGAUACCCCUUAGUC
This 460-nucleotide ribosomal RNA is filed under the name uncultured bacterium. RNAcentral's name for it is "partial 16S ribosomal RNA". It matches the Rfam family "Bacterial small subunit ribosomal RNA", at positions 338 to 795 of the family's 1533-position model. The record is from RNAcentral.